Salarias fasciatus (jewelled blenny) is the source of this 548-nucleotide long non-coding RNA. RefSeq lists it as uncharacterized. NCBI's taxonomy places the organism in Eukaryota, Metazoa, Chordata, Actinopteri, Blenniiformes, Blenniidae. The record is from RefSeq and is a predicted model, not a curated record. The transcript has 6 exons.
CCUCUGUCGACCUGCGAGGGACAGAAUAAGAACCAGGCAGAGGACUGAAGACGUUUGGGGAGAUUUUUUUAUCUCUGAACCAUCGGGACUGGACCUGAGAGAAAAAUUUGACUGAACAUGUCUGAUGUGGACAAAGAGGAGGACAGAUCAGAGUCUGAUGACAGAUUUGAGCAGCUUGGACACACGGCAGAGUCUUCAGGAUCCUGGAGCUUGUCUAUGAACAGUGACUGGCUCGAACAUGAACCACCAGUCUUCAGUGUUGAACCUGGACCUUCAGACACAAAAGAGAAGAGGAGUGAUGUUUGUGAGGAGCAGGAUAAGUCCUGCUGUGUUUUGUGUCAGGAAGUCCUGAAGGAUCCAGUCCGGUGGAGCUGUGGACACCAGGUCUGCAGAGAGUGCAGCAGCUCACACUGGGACCAGGGUUCUUCAUCAGGAGCUUCUUGCUGUUCUCAAUGUGAAGAAAGAUCCAGAAGCGUCGCUGCACCAAGUGUUGGUCUGCAGCAGCUUCUAGAAGAACAUAAGAAGAGUCUGAGGAGGAGAUGUGAACG